Molecule: ribosomal RNA, 1384 nt
Filed under: Engystomops sp. B DCC-2006
Lineage: Eukaryota; Metazoa; Chordata; Amphibia; Anura; Leptodactylidae
Description: partial 16S ribosomal RNA
Rfam family: Bacterial large subunit ribosomal RNA
Source: RNAcentral
AGCUAAAAAUCUAGCCUUAUAUUUCCCUAAUAAAAACCCCUUCUCCCAUUAUAACCAAAUUAAAACAUUUUUUAAACUUAGUAAAGGAGAUUAAAAAGUUUCUUAGAGCUAUAAUAAUUGUACCGCAAGGGAAAGAUGAAAUAAAAAUGAAAUAAAAUUAAAGCAAUAAAAAGUAGAGCUUUACUCUCGUACCUUUUGCAUCAUGGUUCAACUAGUAUAAUCAAGCAAAAAGAAUUAAAGUUUGACCCCCCGAAACUAAGUGAGCUACUUCAGGGCAGCUUAAUGAGCCAACCCGUCUCUGUUGCAAAAGAGUGGGAUGACCCUCAAGUAGAGGUGAUAGACCUAACGAACUUAGUGAUAGCUGGUUAUUCAGGAAAAGAAUAUUAGUUCAACUUAAAAUUAUAAAAAUUAUCAAAAAUAAAACUUCAAUUUUAAAGCAAUUCAAACAAGGUACAGCCUGUUUGAAAUAGGACACAACCUCUACUAAUGGGUAAAUUAAUAGAAAUUAUAAUUAAGUAGGCCUAAAAGCAGCCACCUUUAAAAUAGCGUCAAAGCUUAUCUAUAUUUUCUCUCUAAUAACAUUAUUUAUUAUAAACCCUUUACCUUUACUGAAUAUUUCUAUAAAACUAUAGAAUUUUUUAUGUUGAAACUAGUAACAAGAAGUUAAACUUCUCUUUAAUGUAAGCAUAAUUCGGAUAGGAUAAACCACCGACAAUUAACGCCUUGAACCUAAAAUAAUAACUCUACAUGAAAACUUUAUUGCACCUGACGUUAACCUUACACCAGAACAUUUAAAGAAAGAUUCCAAAAAAAGGAAGGAACUCGGCAAACAUUAACCCCGCCUGUUUACCAAAAACAUCGCCUUCUGCUUCACCAUAGAAGGUCCAGCCUGCCCAGUGAACUAAUUCAACGGCCGCGGUAUCCUAACCGUGCGAAGGUAGCGUAAUCACUUGUUCUUUAAAUGAGGACUAGUAUGAAUGGCAUCACGAAGGUUAUACUGUCUCCCUUUUUUUAUCAGUUAAACUAAUCUUCCCGUGAAGAAGCGGGAAUAAUUUUAUAAGACGAGAAGACCCUAUGGAGCUUUAAAUUACGCAACAAACGCUACAUUUUAAUCAUUUUAAGAAUAAUUAUAUAUUUAAGCAUUAUGAUUGCCAAUUUUUGGUUGGGGUGACCGCGGAGUAAAAAAUAACCUCCACAAUGAAAGGAAAUUUUUCCUGAAUCAAGAAAUACAAUUCUAAAUACCAACAACUUGACAUUCUUUGACCCAAUUUAUUGAUCAACGAACAAAGUUACCCUAGGGAUAACAGCGCAAUCCAUUUCAAGAGCUCCUAUCGACAAAUGGGUUUACGACCUCGAUGUUGGAUCAGGAUGUCCCAGUGGUGUA